RNAcentral lists this transfer RNA (73 nucleotides) under Stegodyphus mimosarum. It matches the Rfam family "tRNA". From Rfam's summary of the family: Transfer RNA (tRNA) molecules are approximately 80 nucleotides in length. Their secondary structure includes four short double-helical elements and three loops (D, anti-codon, and T loops). Further hydrogen bonds mediate the characteristic L-shaped molecular structure. tRNAs have two regions of fundamental functional importance: the anti-codon, which is responsible for specific mRNA codon recognition, and the 3' end, to which the tRNAs corresponding amino acid is attached (by aminoacyl-tRNA synthetases). tRNAs cope with the degeneracy of the genetic code in two manners: having more than one tRNA (with a specific anti-codon) for a particular amino acid; and 'wobble' base-pairing, i.e. permitting non-standard base-pairing at the 3rd anti-codon position. Lineage: Eukaryota; Metazoa; Arthropoda; Arachnida; Araneae; Eresidae. The record is from Rfam by way of RNAcentral.
GUCUUCGUGGUAUACUUGGAAGCACGCCUGACUAGCAAUCAAGAUGUUCCGAGUUCGAUUCUUGGCUAAGAUA